AACGAACGCUGGCGGCAGGCUUAACACAUGCAAGUCGAGCGCCCCGCAAGGGGAGCGGCAGACGGGUGAGUAACGCGUGGGAACGUACCCUUUGGUUCGGAACAACUCCGGGAAACUGGAGCUAAUACCGGAUAAGCCCUAACGGGGAAAGAUUUAUCGCCGAAAGAUCGGCCCGCGUCUGAUUAGCUAGUUGGUGAGGUAACGGCUCACCAAGGCGACGAUCAGUAGCUGGUCUGAGAGGAUGAUCAGCCACACUGGGACUGAGACACGGCCCAGACUCCUACGGGAGGCAGCAGUGGGGAAUAUUGGACAAUGGGCGCAAGCCUGAUCCAGCCAUGCCGCGUGAGUGAUGAAGGCCUUAGGGUUGUAAAGCUCUUUUGUCCGGGAAGAUAAUGACUGUACCGGAAGAAUAAGCCCCGGCUAACUUCGUG
Molecule: ribosomal RNA, 431 nt
Filed under: uncultured bacterium
Lineage: Bacteria
Description: partial 16S ribosomal RNA
Rfam family: Bacterial small subunit ribosomal RNA
Source: RNAcentral